RNAcentral lists this ribosomal RNA (672 nucleotides) under Cladosporium hillianum. Its description in RNAcentral is "eukaryotic LSU rRNA". It matches the Rfam family "Eukaryotic large subunit ribosomal RNA", at positions 171 to 869 of the family's 3401-position model. Lineage: Eukaryota; Fungi; Ascomycota; Dothideomycetes; Cladosporiales; Cladosporiaceae. RNAcentral also lists the same sequence under 1 other name. The record is from RNAcentral.
GGCCACCGACCUAAGUUCCUUGGAACAGGACGUCAUAGAGGGUGAGAAUCCCGUAUGCGGUCGGAAAGGCGCUCUAUACGUAGCUCCUUCGACGAGUCGAGUUGUUUGGGAAUGCAGCUCUAAAUGGGAGGUAAAUUUCUUCUAAAGCUAAAUAUUGGCCAGAGACCGAUAGCGCACAAGUAGAGUGAUCGAAAGAUGAAAAGCACUUUGGAAAGAGAGUUAAAAAGCACGUGAAAUUGUUAAAAGGGAAGGGAUUGCAACCAGACUUGCUCGCGGUGUUCCGCCGGUCUUCUGACCGGUCUACUCGCCGCGUUGCAGGCCAGCAUCGUCUGGUGCCGCUGGAUAAGACUUGAGGAAUGUAGCUCCCUCGGGAGUGUUAUAGCCUCUUGUGAUGCAGCGAGCGCCGGGCGAGGUCCGCGCUUCGGCUAGGAUGCUGGCGUAAUGGUCGUAAUCCGCCCGUCUUGAAACACGGACCAAGGAGUCUAACAUCUAUGCGAGUGUUCGGGUGUCAAACCCCUACGCGUAAUGAAAGUGAACGGAGGUGAGAACCGCAAGGUGCAUCAUCGACCGAUCCUGAUGUCUUCGGAUGGAUUUGAGUAAGAGCAUAGCUGUUGGGACCCGAAAGAUGGUGAACUAUGCCUGAAUAGGGUGAAGCCAGAGGAAACUCUGGUG